RNAcentral lists this ribosomal RNA (253 nucleotides) under uncultured bacterium. RNAcentral's name for it is "partial 16S ribosomal RNA". It matches the Rfam family "Bacterial small subunit ribosomal RNA", at positions 524 to 776 of the family's 1533-position model. The record is from RNAcentral.
GACAGAGGGUGCAAACGUUGUUCGGAAUUACUGGGCGUAAAGGGCUCGUAGGCGGCCAACUCAGUCGGACGUGAAAUCCCUCGGCUUAACCGGGGAAUGGCGUCCGAUACUGGAUGGCUUGAGUUUGGGAGAGGGAUGCGGAAUUCCAGGUGUAGCGGUGAAAUGCGUAGAUAUCUGGAGGAACACCGGUGGCGAAGGCGGCAUCCUGGACCAACACUGACGCUGAGGAGCGAAAGCCAGGGGAGCAAACGGG